AGUGAACGCUGGCGGUAGGCCUAACACAUGCAAGUCGAACGGCAGCACAGUAAGAGCUUGCUCUUACGGGUGGCGAGUGGCGGACGGGUGAGGAAUACAUCGGAAUCUACUUUUUCGUGGGGGAUAACGUAGGGAAACUUACGCUAAUACCGCAUACGACCUACGGGUGAAAGCAGGGGAUCUUCGGACCUUUCGCGAUUGAAUGAGCCGAUGUCGGAUUAGCUAGUUGGCGUGGCAAAGGCCCACCAAGGCGACGAUCCGUAGCUGGUCUGAGAGGAUGAUCAGCCACACUGGAACUGAGACACGGUCCAGACUACUACGGGAGGCAGCAGUGGGGAAUAUGGGACAAUGGGCGCAAGCCUGAUCCAGCCAUACCGCGUGGGUGAAGAAGGCCUUCGGGUUGUAAAGCCCUUUUGUUGGGAAAGAAAAGCAGCAGGUUAAUACCCCGCUGUUCUGACGGUACCCAAAGAAUAAGCACCGGCUAACUUCGUG
This 492-nucleotide ribosomal RNA is filed under the name uncultured bacterium. Its description in RNAcentral is "partial 16S ribosomal RNA". It matches the Rfam family "Bacterial small subunit ribosomal RNA", at positions 29 to 507 of the family's 1533-position model. The record is from RNAcentral.